This 274-nucleotide ribosomal RNA is filed under the name uncultured bacterium. Its description in RNAcentral is "partial 16S ribosomal RNA". It matches the Rfam family "Bacterial small subunit ribosomal RNA", at positions 523 to 796 of the family's 1533-position model. The record is from RNAcentral.
AUACGGAGGGUGCAAGCGUUACUCGGAAUCACUGGGCGUAAAGCGCGCGCAGGCGACUAUUUAAGUUGGAUGUGAAAGCCUACGGCUCAACCGUAGAACUGCAUCCAAAACUAUUUAGCUAGAGUGUGGGAGAGGAAGAUGGAAUUAGUUGUGUAGGGGUAAAAUCCGUAGAGAUAACUAGGAAUACCAAAAGCGAAGGCAUUCUUCUGGAACACUACUGACGCUGAGGCGCGAAAGCGUGGGGAGCAAACGGGAUUAGAUACCCUAGUAGUCC